UUAAGUAGCAACAGUACAUAUUGUAACGGCACCCCCAUACAUAAAAGGGGUUAAACCACCGUUUAGAAGAUCUUCCUCUUCCAGAGACACAGGCACAGCUACCGCAGAACCCCAAACUCCCGAACUGGAACCUCACGUAUAGCUGCUAGCAGCUGAACAGCAAAAGCACCCAAGCGGCUUACACUCCUGGCAAUCAGUCUCUAACAGCAUACAAUAAAUCCCUCCAAGAACGAGACGAGGCUCUGUUUUGAGGGUCAAACAGGAAAAGACAGAGCUGUGGGUUUAUUGUCCUUAUA
Molecule: non-coding RNA, 296 nt
Organism: Pelobates cultripes (western spadefoot toad)
Lineage: Eukaryota; Metazoa; Chordata; Amphibia; Anura; Pelobatidae
Source: the annotation of a GenBank genome assembly